AUUGAACGCUGGCGGCAGGCCUAACACAUGCAAGUCGAGCGGAUGAAGGGAGCUUGCUCCUGGAUUCAGCGGCGGACGGGUGAGUAAUGCCUAGGAAUCUGCCUGGUAGUGGGGGAUAACGUCCGGAAACGGGCGCUAAUACCGCAUACGUCCUGAGGGAGAAAGUGGGGGAUCUUCGGACCUCACGCUAUCAGAUGAGCCUAGUUCGGAUUAGCUAGUUGGUUGGGUAAAGGCCUACCAAGGCGACGAUCCGUAACUGGUCUGAGAGGAUGAUCAGUCACACUGGAACUGAGACACGGUCCAGACUCCUACGGGAGGCAGCAGUAGGGAAUAUUGGACAAUGGGCGAAAGCCUGACCCAGCCACGCCGCGUGUGUGAAGAAGGUCUUCGGAUUGUAAAGCACUUUAAGUUGGGAGGAAGGGAAGUAUGUUAAUACCUUGCUGUUUUGACGGUACCAACAGAAAAAGCACCGGCUAACUUCGUG
This 484-nucleotide ribosomal RNA is filed under the name uncultured bacterium. Its description in RNAcentral is "partial 16S ribosomal RNA". It matches the Rfam family "Bacterial small subunit ribosomal RNA", at positions 30 to 507 of the family's 1533-position model. The record is from RNAcentral.